This 468-nucleotide ribosomal RNA is filed under the name uncultured bacterium. RNAcentral's name for it is "partial 16S ribosomal RNA". It matches the Rfam family "Bacterial small subunit ribosomal RNA", at positions 28 to 507 of the family's 1533-position model. The record is from RNAcentral.
GACGAACGCUGGCGGCGUGCUUAACACAUGCAAGUCGAACGGAAAGGCCCUGCUUUUGUGGGGUGCUCGAGUGGCGAACGGGUGAGUAACACGUGAGUAACCUGCCCUUGACUUUGGGAUAACUUCAGGAAACUGGGGCUAAUACCGGAUAGGAGCUCCUGCUGCAUGGUGGGGGUUGGAAAGUUUCGGCGGUUGGGGAUGGACUCGCGGCUUAUCAGCUUGUUGGUGGGGUAGUGGCUUACCAAGGCUUUGACGGGUAGCCGGCCUGAGAGGGUGACCGGCCACAUGGGGACUGAGAUACGGCCCAGACUCCUACGGGAGGCAGCAGUGGGGAAUAUUGCACAAUGGGCGGAAGCCGGAUGCAGCAACGCCGCGUGCGGGAUGACGGCCUGCGGGUUGUAAACCGCUUUCGCCUGUGACGAAGCGUGAGUGACGGUAAUGGGUAAAGAAGCACCGGCUAACUACGUG